AGUUAUACCAUUAUAUAAAAUUAAGUUAAACAUUACAUAACUUAUGGGGCAUCCACCCUCUGGUAUGAAUUAUGAACAAUAUCAUGAUUAAAAAAUACAGCCCCUAGCAGAUUGUCAAUAGCUUUAACAAGUUAGCCUUAGGUUAACAGGUUCACCCUAAAAUAUACCUCUAAUAUAUGGAAAGCAAACACUGCCAUUUAUAUUUGUGAAGAUGUUCUAUCAACAUUUCAUCAGGAUUGAUCUUUCUCGAAUAUGACAUGGCUGAUUCUUUAUAUCAUGUGGAAACAUGGAUAAAGGGAAUCGUAGACAAUCACUGACUGGCCACUUGAUUGUGAUACAAGCCAAUGUCCAGGAAGGUUAUGGAUCUGAAUUGCAUUCAACAUUGAUGUUAUUGGAUCCUCCCUGGUGAGUUUGCUUGAUACUAUCAAGGUAUCUAUUAAGCCAUCUACUUUGGUGAAUUGGUUUUUCAAUAGAAUCUGGACUGCAUUGAUGUGAUUAUCAUUUAGAAGGUUGCCUGAAGUCAGUUCAUGUUUAUCAGCCUGAUACAAAUUCAAACUAGGCAAACAUACCCAGAGCUUUCUUUCUAGAUGAAAACAGGACUUCUUACUGGGUGAGCUGAGAUCAACUACAUCUGGCUUUGUAGAGCAUCUCUUCUUUGGUCUAUCUGAGGCAAGUGGCACAUGCACUUUGAAAUUUUUCUUCAUUACUUCAGCAUGCUUCCCAACUCGGCCUGUGUAGGGGUGUUUUGGGCGACCAUAUUUUCUGGUUGUUAAUGUUUUUAUCUUUCCCUUUUUCUUUUGACCAUUUUUUGUGAUGUGUUUUCUCCCUCUUGUGGUUACUGGAUUUUUCUUAACUUGGGUUUUUUUUAUGAUAAUUCCUGCUUCCUGGGGUGCUGUACUUCGUGCCUUCUCUAAAAUCCCCUCCAACUCACUGGCAAGACUGGAAAGUUGUUGUUUGUCAUCCAUUAGAAAUGUAAGGUUUGAAAGUUCCUUCAUCAAAUUGCGGCACUUGAGACGAAGAGCAUUUUUGCCACUUGUUCUUUUAGGUGGAAGUGAUUUAUAAUCUUUAUUGACCAGUUCAGGGGGUGAAGGUGGUAUGAAAUCAUCAUUGUCUCUUUUUUCUGUUGGAGGUUGAUCAUUGGUUACAUUUCCUUGCUGUUUAACAAUGUGUUUAUUUUCAGGAUAACUGUUAUCUGGUGGAACAAUUUUCUGAUCUAAUGAAAACAGUGGAUUUCCUAUGUAUUUGGCACUCAGGUUUUCCCAUCUCCAUUCUGGAAAAGCUUUCAUGCAAGCACAAAAGUGUUUGCAAAGAAGCUUGUUGUGUCUCCAGUCCAAGCAUGUGCAGUUUGGGAGAGUUUCUUCAUCACCAAAGAAUAAUCUGUAUAUGUUCCCUCCUGUUGAACUCUUUACAUCAAAGACCCCAGGAGACACCAUUUGGACCAUGUCAUUUGUGAUGUCACUUUCCCAGCGCUUUAUUAUAUGAGAUACCAUUUUUGCUGGUCUAUUGUGCAAAAAUUUGGGAAGAUCCUUAUGGUAUGCACGAUAACCAUCAUGGCAUUUCACAUUUAACUCAACAUACCUAUAUGGUAAAAAAUACAACAAUUCUUUACAUACUUCACAUUUGUGAAAUUUAAACAAUAUUCCUGAGAAAUUCCAUUAGUGCUGCAAUUUUACAAGUAGGCAACUCUUACUUUCUGAACGUUUUUGGAAGAAACUGAUCCACAAGGACUUUUAGCAUGUCUGUUAAAGAGCAUCCUUUGUUCCCAAGCAGAUAUUCAUAUUUAAAUGCCUUAUUUUGUCUCUCAAUCCCAUUGUUUGUGUUGACUGCACAAAUAAAAUCUUCAGCCCGGUAUGCUUGGCACCAUCUCUGAAAAUCAAAAUUUAUGGUUUUUAGUAUUUCUCAUGUUUGCUGGUUUGACAAGCACUAUUAAAUAGUUCAGUCAUUAGUCAUUGAUUGACUGGACUUUCUAAGCUUUCCUAUAAUAUGUUGGCUUUGUACCUUUAUGUUUGGCAGCCACUUGUUACCAAACCAAUUCCUUAGUUUCGGAUUACUUUUCCAAAGUCUGCUCUCAGUAAGGCAUGUGGUUGAUUUUCGACACUCUUCAGAUGUGGCUGCAUGUGCGAUGCUCCGUAAUAGAUUUAGCAGAUGUUGUUUGUCAUGAGCAACACCAUUGUCUAAUUUAGAUGUCCAUUCUUGCCAUGACUUCUCCCGAUGAAAAUCACAAAGAAGUACUUCUGCAUCUGAAUAAUAUAAAUGACAUUGAGGUGCAUCAGGUUGCAUCCAGCAGACACAUUUGGUUACCAUACUUUGCGAGGAGAUGUCGUUGAUCACUGGUCUGAUGACAGAACAGUAAUGUUUGGGUGGAGUAUUCGUCGGAGGUGACGCAGUCAUCUUCAUCCUGAACACAAUCAUCUGGUACUGGCUUAGCACAAUGGGGACGAUAGAGAAAUGAGUCUUCUGGAUGCUCAUUCUUCCAUUUUUCGACCAGUCUCUUCAAAUUUUCUUGGUCAAUUGUGGAGAAAUUGUCUGGUUUUCCUUUGUACAAAUGAUUAUAAAUGUCCUUGUUAGUAGGAUAAUAUCGCCUACUAGUUUUGUCUGGCGGUUUACAUCCCUUGAAGAGGUCACAUUGCACGAAAAGCUCGAGGUACCUGCGUGCCUCACUUACUGAGUGGACACCUUCUUGGGCUAGCUCUGAAAGUUUUUCCACUAUAACCGGGUCCAGUGGCUCUCUUAUUCCAGCAGCCUGUAAUAUAAAAAAUAACCAUUACAUUAAUAAUUUUAACAAUCGCGCGUGUUUUAUAAGUAAAUUACAGUACUUUUAAAUUCUAAUAUGUGCCAAUCCUGUCGCAAUGUUAUGUAGGUUUAUAUAUUUUCGGUUUUUGUGGCAAU
Molecule: long non-coding RNA, 2889 nt
Organism: Dendronephthya gigantea
Lineage: Eukaryota; Metazoa; Cnidaria; Anthozoa; Malacalcyonacea; Nephtheidae
Exons: 3
Source: RefSeq, a predicted model, not a curated record